UACGGAGAGAGCUAGCGUUGUUCGGAAUUAUUGGGCGUAAAGCGCGCGCAGGCGGUUUCUUAAGUCUGAUGUGAAAGCCCACGGCUCAACCGUGGAGGGUCAUUGGAAACUGGGGAACUUGAGUGCAGAAGAGAAAAGCGGAAUUCCACGUGUAGCGGUGAAAUGCGUAGAGAUGUGGAGGAACACCAGUGGCGAAGGCGGCUUUUUGGUCUGUAACUGACGCUGAGGCGCGAAAGCGUGGGGAGCAAACAGG
Molecule: ribosomal RNA, 253 nt
Filed under: uncultured bacterium
Lineage: Bacteria
Description: partial 16S ribosomal RNA
Rfam family: Bacterial small subunit ribosomal RNA
Source: RNAcentral